This 1372-nucleotide ribosomal RNA is filed under the name uncultured bacterium. RNAcentral's name for it is "bacterial SSU rRNA". It matches the Rfam family "Bacterial small subunit ribosomal RNA", at positions 28 to 1381 of the family's 1533-position model. The record is from RNAcentral.
GAUGAACGCUGGCGGCGUGCCUAAUACAUGCAAGUCGAGCGAACGGACGAGAAGCUUGCUUCUCUGAUGUUAGCGGCGGACGGGUGAGUAACACGUGGAUAACCUACCUAUAAGACUGGGAUAACUUCGGGAAACCGGAGCUAAUACCGGAUAAUAUUUUGAACCGCAUGGUUCAAAAGUGAAAGACGGUCUUGCUGUCACUUAUAGAUGGAUCCGCGCUGCAUUAGCUAGUUGGUAAGGUAACGGCUUACCAAGGCAACGAUGCAUAGCCGACCUGAGAGGGUGAUCGGCCACACUGGAACUGAGACACGGUCCAGACUCCUACGGGAGGCAGCAGUAGGGAAUCUUCCGCAAUGGGCGAAAGCCUGACGGAGCAACGCCGCGUGAGUGAUGAAGGUCUUCGGAUCGUAAAACUCUGUUAUUAGGGAAGAACAUAUGUGUAAGUAACUGUGCACAUCUUGACGGUACCUAAUCAGAAAGCCACGGCUAACUACGUGCCAGCAGCCGCGGUAAUACGUAGGUGGCAAGCGUUAUCCGGAAUUAUUGGGCGUAAAGCGCGCGUAGGCGGUUUUUUAAGUCUGAUGUGAAAGCCCACGGCUCAACCGUGGAGGGUCAUUGGAAACUGGAAAACUUGAGUGCAGAAGAGGAAAGUGGAAUUCCAUGUGUAGCGGUGAAAUGCGCAGAGAUAUGGAGGAACACCAGUGGCGAAGGCGACUUUCUGGUCUGUAACUGACGCUGAUGUGCGAAAGCGUGGGGACCAAACAGGAUUAGAUACCCUGGUAGUCCACGCCGUAAACGAUGAGUGCUAAGUGUUAGGGGGUUUCCGCCCCUUAGUGCUGCAGCUAACGCAUUAAGCACUCCGCCUGGGGAGUACGACCGCAAGGUUGAAACUCAAAGGAAUUGACGGGGACCCACACAAGCGGUGGAGCAUGUGGUUUAAUUCGAAGCAACGCGAAGAACCUUACCAAAUCUUGACAUCCUUUGACAACUCUAGAGAUAGAGCUUUCCCCUUCGGGGGACAAAGUGACAGGUGGUGCAUGGUUGUCGUCAGCUCGUGUCGUGAGAUGUUGGGUUGAGUCCCGCAACGAGCGCAACCCUUAAGCUUAGUUGCCAUCAUUAAGUUGGGCACUCUAAGUUGACUGCCGGUGACAAACCGGAGGAAGGUGGGGAUGACGUCAAAUCAUCAUGCCCCUUAUGAUUUGGGCUACACACGUGCUACAAUGGACAAUACAAAGGGCAGCGAAACCGCGAGGUCAAGCAAAUCCCAUAAAGUUGUUCUCAGUUCGGAUUGUAGUCUGCAACUCGACUACAUGAAGCUGGAAUCGCUAGUAAUCGUAGAUCAGCAUGCUACGGUGAAUACGUUCCCGGGUCU